CAGUAGCCACGGUAAUACAGAGGAUGCAAGCGUUGUCCGGAAUUAUUGGGCGUAAAGGGCCCGCAGGCGGUUUUUUAAGUCUGAUGUGAAAGCCCCCGGCCCAACCGGGGAGGGUCAUUGGAAACUGGGAAACUUGAGUGCAGAAGAGGAGAGUGGAACUCCACGUGUAGCGGUGAAAUGCGUAGAGAUGUGGAGGAACACCAGUAGCGAAGGCGACUCUCUGGUCUGUAACUGACGCUGAGGAGCGAAAGCGUGGGGAGCGAACAGGAUUAGAUACCCGAGUAGUCCCUGUCUCUUAUAC
Molecule: ribosomal RNA, 301 nt
Filed under: uncultured bacterium
Lineage: Bacteria
Description: partial 16S ribosomal RNA
Rfam family: Bacterial small subunit ribosomal RNA
Source: RNAcentral